AACAUUCACUAACAAAAGAACUAAACAGCGUUGUUGCCGAAAAAGAAAAAAACUUCAGCACAAAAAGGAUUUAAAAAGGAGGUUUGAAGAACUAACAUCAUCAGAGAAUAAAUCUGCUGCUGAUGAUGUUUAGGUGUAUUGGAUACUUUAAAAACUACAACAGGGCAGCUGAUAGCGAUGAAGAUUGAUGGCGGUAGUUCUUCUUGGGUGGGGAGCAAACCAUUGUGUUCCUCAGCAUUAGGUUCAGCUGAAGAGUUGCUUUCGUCUCUUUGUCACUCAUCGUACUCUAGGCCUAAACAGGUGAGCUGCUGAGCAUACACCGGGACAGGCUUCAGACACUAGUUCACUAGUACUAGUGGUGACACACAACAUUACAGGUUCACCGAUCCGUCCUGGCUCCAAGAUCUUCAUCCAACCCAAGCGGGGGCUAGACAUCCACUGAAGAAGUCCAGAAGAGGGUCCAAAGUCUUCCUCCUAUCCGGCAAGAAGAGGAC
This is a long non-coding RNA of Bombina bombina (fire-bellied toad), 494 nucleotides long. RefSeq lists it as uncharacterized. NCBI's taxonomy places the organism in Eukaryota, Metazoa, Chordata, Amphibia, Anura, Bombinatoridae. The transcript has 4 exons. The record is from RefSeq and is a predicted model, not a curated record.